Molecule: ribosomal RNA, 253 nt
Filed under: uncultured bacterium
Lineage: Bacteria
Description: partial 16S ribosomal RNA
Rfam family: Bacterial small subunit ribosomal RNA
Source: RNAcentral
UACGUAGGCAGCAAGCGUUAAUCGGAAUUACUGGGCGUAAAGCGUGCGCAGGCGGUGAUGUAAGACAGGUGUGAAAUCCCCGGGCUUAACCUGGGAACUGCAUUUGUGACUGCAUCGCUGGAGUGCGGCAGAGGGGGAUGGAAUUCCGCGUGUAGCAGUGAAAUGCGUAGAUAUGCGGAGGAACACCGAUGGCGAAGGCAAUCCCCUGGGCCUGCACUGACGCUCAUGCACGAAAGCGUGGGGAGCAAACAGG